RNAcentral lists this non-coding RNA (24 nucleotides) under Arabidopsis thaliana (thale cress). The record is from RNAcentral. Lineage: Eukaryota; Viridiplantae; Streptophyta; Magnoliopsida; Brassicales; Brassicaceae.
ACCGUUAGGGUUAGCUGGUCUUGA